RNAcentral lists this ribosomal RNA (438 nucleotides) under uncultured bacterium. RNAcentral describes it as "bacterial SSU rRNA". It matches the Rfam family "Bacterial small subunit ribosomal RNA", at positions 954 to 1392 of the family's 1533-position model. The record is from RNAcentral.
GCUAAACGCGAAGAACCUUACCUGGUCUUGACAUCCUCGGAACCCUGCAGAGAUGCGGGGGUGCCUUCGGGAGCCGAGAGACAGGUGCUGCAUGGCUGUCGUCAGCUCGUGUCGUGAGAUGUUGGGUUAAGUCCCGCAACGAGCGCAACCCUUGUCCCUAGUUGCCAUCAUUUAGUUGGGAACUCUAGGGAGACCGCCGGUAACAAACCGGAGGAAGGUGGGGAUGACGUCAAGUCAUCAUGGCCUUUAUGGCCAGGGCUACACACGUGCUACAAUGGCAGGUACAGAGGGAAGCCAACCGGCGACGGGGAGCUAAUCCCAGAAAGCCUGUCUUAGUCCGGAUUGCAGUCUGCAACUCGACUGCAUGAAGUUGGAAUCGCUAGUAAUCGCAGAUCAGCAUUGCUGCGGUGAAUACGUUCCCGGGUCUUGUACACACCG